AGAACGAACGCUGGCGGCAGGCCUAAAACAUGCAAGUCGAGCGCCCAGCAAUGGGAGCGGCGGACGGGUGAGUAACACGUGGGAACGUACCUUUCGGUUCGGAACAACUCAGGGAAACUUGAGCUAAUGCCGAAUUCGCCCUAACGGGGAAAGAUUUAUCGCCGAAAGAUCGGCCCGCGUAAGAUUAGCUAGUUGGUGAGGUAACGGCCCACCAAGGCGACGAUCUUUAGCUGGUUUGAGAGAACGACCAGCCACACUGGGACUGAGACACGGCCCAGACUCCUACGGGAGGCAGCAGUUAGGAAUCUUGGACAAUGGGCGAAAGCCUGAUCCAGCCAUGCCGCGUGAGUGAUGAAGGCCUUCGGGUUGUAAACUCUUUCGACGGGGACGAUAAUGACGGUACCCGUAGAAGAAGCUCCGGCUAACUUCGCGCCAGCAGCCGC
Molecule: ribosomal RNA, 443 nt
Filed under: uncultured bacterium
Lineage: Bacteria
Description: SSU rRNA
Rfam family: Bacterial small subunit ribosomal RNA
Source: RNAcentral